RNAcentral lists this ribosomal RNA (482 nucleotides) under uncultured bacterium. RNAcentral's name for it is "bacterial SSU rRNA". It matches the Rfam family "Bacterial small subunit ribosomal RNA", at positions 96 to 564 of the family's 1533-position model. The record is from RNAcentral.
CGGCGGACGGGUGAGUAACACGUGGGCAACCUGCCUGUAAGACUGGGAUAACUUCGGGAAACCGGAGCUAAUACCGGAUAACUUCUUUCUCUGCAUGGGGAAAGGUUAAAAGACGGUUUCGGCUGUCACUUACAGAUGGGCCCGCGGCGCAUUAGCUAGUUGGUGAGGUAACGGCUCACCAAGGCGACGAUGCGUAGCCGACCUGAGAGGGUGAUCGGCCACACUGGGACUGAGACACGGCCCAGACUCCUACGGGAGGCAGCAGUAGGGAAUCUUCCGCAAUGGACGAAAGUCUGACGGAGCAACGCCGCGUGAGUGAUGAAGGUCUUCGGAUCGUAAAACUCUGUUAUCAGGGAAGAACAAGUAUCGGAGUAACUGCCGGUACCUUGACGGUACCUGACCAGAAAGCCACGGCUAACUACGUGCCAGCAGCCGCGGUAAUACGUAGGUGGCAAGCGUUGUCCGGAAUUAUUGGGCGUAAA